AGUAAGGAAUAUUGCGCAAUGGGCGACAGCCUGACGCAGCGACGCCGCGUGGGGGAUGAAGGUCUUCGGAUUGUAAACCCCUUUCGGCAGGGAAGAUGGAACGGGUAACCGUUCGGACGGUACCUGCAGAAGCAGCCACGGCUAACUUCGUGCCAGCAGCCGCGGUAAUACGAAGGUGGCAAGCGUUGUUCGGAUUUACUGGGCGUACAGGGAGCGUAGGCGGUUGGGUAAGCCCUCCGUGAAAUCUCCGGGCCUAACCCGGAAAGUGCGGAGGGGACUGCUCGGCUAGAGGAUGGGAGAGGAGCGCGGAAUUCCCGGUGUAGCGGUGAAAUGCGUAGAGAUCGGGAGGAAGGCCGGUGGCGAAGGCGGCGCUCUGGAACAUUUCUGACGCUGAGGCUCGAAAGCGUGGGGAGCAAA
RNAcentral lists this ribosomal RNA (417 nucleotides) under uncultured Nitrospira sp. Its description in RNAcentral is "bacterial SSU rRNA". It matches the Rfam family "Bacterial small subunit ribosomal RNA", at positions 353 to 772 of the family's 1533-position model. The record is from RNAcentral. Lineage: Bacteria; Pseudomonadati; Nitrospirota; Nitrospiria; Nitrospirales; Nitrospiraceae.